RNAcentral lists this ribosomal RNA (433 nucleotides) under uncultured bacterium. RNAcentral's name for it is "partial 16S ribosomal RNA". It matches the Rfam family "Bacterial small subunit ribosomal RNA", at positions 29 to 507 of the family's 1533-position model. The record is from RNAcentral.
AACUAACGCUGGCGGCAGGCCUAACACAUGCAAGUCGAGCGAGAUCUUCGGGUCUAGCGGCGGACGGGUGAGUAACGCGUGGGAAUAUGCCUCUUGGUACGGAAUAGCCUCGGGAAACUGGGAGUAAUACCGUAUGUGCCCCUUGGGGGAAAGAUUUAUCGCCAAGAGAUUAGCCCGCGUUGGAUUAGGUAGUUGGUGGGGUAAUGGCCUACCAAGCCGACGAUCCAUAGCUGGUUUGAGAGGAUGAUCAGCCACACUGGGACUGAGACACGGCCCAGACUCCUACGGGAGGCAGCAGUGGGGAAUCUUAGACAAUGGGGGCAACCCUGAUCGAGCCAUGCCGCGUGAGUGAUGAAGGCCUUAGGGUUGUAAAGCUCUUUCAGCUGGGAAGAUAAUGACGGUACCAGCAGAAGAAGCCCCGGCUAACUCCGUG